AUGGAAGGCAUGCUGCACGGCGUGCCGUUCCUGUGCUGGCCGUACUUUGCUGACCAGUUCGCCAACCAAAGCUAUGUGUGCAACGUGUGGGGCACCGGCGUCAAAGCUUUGCCGAGACGAGCGAGGGGUCAUCACCAAGGAGGAGAUCGAGAGCAAGGUGGUGCGGCUGCUCGGCGACCAGGGGGUCAAGGCGAGGGCUGCGACGUGGAAGGACAAGGCUUGUGCGACCAUUGCAGAGGGAGGGUCCUCGCAUCAGUGCCUUCUCAAGCUUGUGAACUUGCUCGGAGAGGUGGGAUCCCAUCCCAUCACCGUGUGAUCACGACACCAGACAUCGGACGGCUCCGAACAUCUACGUUGAUAUACAAAAAAUUGAGGGCAGCUUGGUAA
This 387-nucleotide ribosomal RNA is filed under the name Triticum aestivum (bread wheat). RNAcentral describes it as "partial small subunit ribosomal RNA". Lineage: Eukaryota; Viridiplantae; Streptophyta; Magnoliopsida; Poales; Poaceae. The record is from RNAcentral.